RNAcentral lists this ribosomal RNA (301 nucleotides) under uncultured bacterium. RNAcentral describes it as "partial 16S ribosomal RNA". It matches the Rfam family "Bacterial small subunit ribosomal RNA", at positions 509 to 807 of the family's 1533-position model. The record is from RNAcentral.
CAGUCGCCACGGUAAUACGAGGGGGGCAAGCGUUGUUCGGAAUUAUUGGGCGUAAAGGGCGCGUAGGCGGUUUGACAAGUCUGAUGUGAAAUCUCUGGGCUCAACCCAGAGUCUGCAUCGGAAACUGUCGAGCUUGAGUAUGGGAGAGGUGAGUGGAAUUCCCGGUGUAGCGGUGAAAUGCGUAGAUAUCGGAAGGAACACCUGUGUCGAAAGCGGCUCACUGGACCAUUACUGACGCUGAGGCGCGAAAGCUAGGGGAGCAAACAGGAUUAGAUACCCCCGUAGUCCCUGUCUCUUAUAC